UGUCAUCAACACGAAUGAUCUCAGAUUUCAAGCACAGACACUUCCCUUGCAUGCUGCAAUCUGUGAUAUUUGAUCCUAACUCUCUGGGAUUUUUUUCUACAAAAGGAUCCUGCUUCAUAUCAAAGAUGCCACUCUUAAAAAGAUUUGUUGUAUCAUUAGCACCUUGGACUAGUUUGAAGGUAUCAGAAAUGCCUCUUACAUUUUCUUCCUGUAACUUGCAAGAACUUGGUAAAUGAGAUGUUGCAAUUGAGGUACUUGUGUAAUCUUUGGCUAAUUCACAAGUUCCUUGGACCUUACAAAUAGAGACAGGAAUGUCUCUUGCUUCUUCUGCCUGCAUCAGUCCACAAUUCUGAGAACCAAUAGACACAGGAAUGUCUCUUGCUACUUCCGCCUGCAUCUGGCCACAAUUCUGAGAACCAAU
This 421-nucleotide unclassified non-coding RNA is filed under the name Hevea brasiliensis (rubber tree). Lineage: Eukaryota; Viridiplantae; Streptophyta; Magnoliopsida; Malpighiales; Euphorbiaceae. The record is from RNAcentral.